Oncorhynchus tshawytscha (Chinook salmon) is the source of this 533-nucleotide long non-coding RNA. The record is from Ensembl. Lineage: Eukaryota; Metazoa; Chordata; Actinopteri; Salmoniformes; Salmonidae.
GUGUGAAGAAGGUGGAUAAAGAUGGUAGAAUGGAACAGUAGUGUGAAGGUGGAUAAAGAUGGUAGAAUGGAACAGUAGUGUGAAGAAGGUGGAUAAAGAUGGUAGAAUGGAACAGUAGUGUGAAGAAGGUGGAUAAAGAUGGUAGAAUGGAACAGUAGUGUGAAGAAGGUGGAUAAAGAUGGUAGAAUGGAACAGUAGUGUGAAGAAGGUGGAUAAAGAUGGUAGAAUGGAACAGUAGUGUGAAGGUGGAUAAAGAUGGUAGAAUGGAACAGUAGUGUGAAGAAGGUGGAUAAAGAUGGUAGAAUGGAACAGUAGUGUGAAGAAGGUGGAUAAAGAUGGUAGAAUGGAACAGUAGUGUGAAGGUGGAUAAAGAUGGUAGAAUGGAACAGUAGUAUGAAGAAGGUGGAUAAAGAUGGUAGAAUGGAACAGUAGUGUGAAGAAGGUGGAUAAAGAUGGUAGAAUGGAACAGUAGUGUGAAGAAGGUGGAUAAAGAUGGUAGAAUGGAACAGUAGUGUGAAGAAGGUGGAUAAAGA